AGCGUACACGGUGGAUGCCCUGGCAGUCAGAGGCGAUGAAGGACGUGCUAAUCUGCGAAAAGCGUCGGUAAGGUGAUAUGAACCGUUAUAGCCGGCGAUGUCCGAAUGGGGAAACCCAGUGCAAUUCGUUGCACUAUCGUUUGAUGAAUACAUAGUCAAACGAGGCGAACCGGGGGAACUGAAACAUCUAAGUACCCCGAGGAAAAGAAAUCAACCGAGAUUCCCCCAGUAGCGGCGAGCGAACGGGGAGCAGCCCGGAGUCUGAAUCAGCUUGUGUGUUAGUGGAAGCGUCUGGAAAGUCGCAGGGUACAGGGUGAUACUCCCGUACACUAAAACACACAGGCUGUGAACUCGAAGAGUAGGGCGGGACACGUGGUAUCCUGUCUGAAUAUGGGGGGACCAUCCUCCAAGGCUAAAUACUCCUGACUGACCGAUAGUGAACCAGUACCGUGAGGGAAAGGCGAAAAGAACCCCGGCGAGGGGAGUGAAAAAGAACCUGAAACCGUGUACGUACAAGCAGUAGGAGCCUCUUUAUGGGGUGACUGCGUACCUUUUGUAUAAUGGGUCAGCGACUUAUAUUCUGUAGCAAGGUUAACCGUAUAGGGGAGCCGCAGGGAAACCGAGUCUUAACUGGGCGUUAAGUUGCAGGGUAUAGACCCGAAACCCGGUGAUCUAGCCAUGGGCAGGUUGAAGGUUGGGUAACACUAACUGGAGGACCGAACCGACUAAUGUUGAAAAAUUAGCGGAUGACUUGUGGCUGGGGGUGAAAGGCCAAUCAAACCGGGAGAUAGCUGGUUCUCCCCGAAAGCUAUUUAGGUAGCGCCUCGUGAACUCAUCUUCGGGGGUAGAGCACUGUUUCGGCUAGGGGGUCAUCCCGACUUACCAACCCGAUGCAAACUACGAAUACCGAAGAAUGUUAUCACGGGAGACACACGGCGGGUGCUAACGUCCGUCGUGAAGAGGGAAACAACCCAGACCGCCAGCUAAGGUCCCAAAGUCAUGGUUAAGUGGGAAACGAUGUGGGAAGGCCCAGACAGCCAGGAUGUUGGCUUAGAAGCAGCCAUCAUUUAAAGAAAGCGUAAUAGCUCACUGGUCGAGUCGGCCUGCGCGGAAGAUGUAACGGGGCUAAACCAUGCACCGAAGCUGCGGCAGCGACACUAUGUGUUGUUGGGUAGGGGAGCGUUCUGUAAGCCGUUGAAGGUGGCCUGUGAGGGUUGCUGGAGGUAUCAGAAGUGCGAAUGCUGACAUAAGUAACGAUAAUGCGGGUGAAAAACCCGCACGCCGGAAGACCAAGGGUUCCUGUCCAACGUUAAUCGGGGCAGGGUGAGUCGACCCCUAAGGCGAGGCCGAAAGGCGUAGUCGAUGGGAAACAGGUUAAUAUUCCUGUACUCGGUGUUACUGCGAAGGGGGGACGGAGAAGGCUAUGUUGGCCGGGCGACGGUUGUCCCGGUUUAAGCAUGUAGGCGGAUGUUCCAGGUAAAUCCGGAACGUUACUAACGCUGAGGUGUGAUGACGAGGCACUACGGUGCUGAAGUGACAAAUGCCCUGCUUCCAGGAAAAGCCUCUAAGCAUCAGGUAACAUCAAAUCGUACCCCAAACCGACACAGGUGGUCAGGUAGAGAAUACCAAGGCGCUUGAGAGAACUCGGGUGAAGGAACUAGGCAAAAUGGUGCCGUAACUUCGGGAGAAGGCACGCUGAUAUGUAGGUGAAGUGGUUUACCCAUGGAGCUGAAAUCAGUCGAAGAUACCAGCUGGCUGCAACUGUUUAUUAAAAACACAGCACUGUGCAAACACGAAAGUGGACGUAUACGGUGUGACGCCUGCCCGGUGCCGGAAGGUUAAUUGAUGGGGUUAUCCGUAAGGAGAAGCUCUUGAUCGAAGCCCCGGUAAACGGCGGCCGUAACUAUAACGGUCCUAAGGUAGCGAAAUUCCUUGUCGGGUAAGUUCCGACCUGCACGAAUGGCGUAAUGAUGGCCAGGCUGUCUCCACCCGAGACUCAGUGAAAUUGAACUCGCUGUGAAGAUGCAGUGUACCCGCGGCAAGACGGAAAGACCCCGUGAACCUUUACUAUAGCUUGACACUGAACACUGGUCCUUGAUGUGUAGGAUAGGUGGGAGGCUUUGAAGUGUGGACGCCAGUCUGCAUGGAGCCAUCCUUGAAAUACCACCCUUUAAUGGCUGGUGUUCUAACGUGGGCCCCUAAUCGGGGUUGCGGACAGUGUCUGGUGGGUAGUUUGACUGGGGCGGUCUCCUCCUAAAGAGUAACGGAGGAGCACGAAGGUCAGCUAAUCCUGGUCGGACAUCAGGAGGUUAGUGCAAUGGCAUAAGCUGGCUUGACUGCGAGCGUGACGGCGCGAGCAGGUGCGAAAGCAGGUCAUAGUGAUCCGGUGGUUCUGAAUGGAAGGGCCAUCGCUCAACGGAUAAAAGGUACUCCGGGGAUAACAGGCUGAUACCGCCCAAGAGUUCAUAUCGACGGCGGUGUUUGGCACCUCGAUGUCGGCUCAUCACAUCCUGGGGCUGAAGUAGGUCCCAAGGGUAUGGCUGUUCGCCAUUUAAAGUGGUACGCGAGCUGGGUUUAGAACGUCGUGAGACAGUUCGGUCCCUAUCUGCCGUGGGCGCUGGAGAAUUGAGGGGGGCUGCUCCUAGUACGAGAGGACCGGAGUGGACGCAUCACUGGUGUUCGGGUUGUCAUGCCAAUGGCAUUGCCCGGUAGCUAAAUGCGGAAGAGAUAAGUGCUGAAAGCAUCUAAGCACGAAACUUGCCCCGAGAUGAGUUCUCCCUGACUCCUUGA
This 2790-nucleotide ribosomal RNA is filed under the name Klebsiella oxytoca. Its description in RNAcentral is "bacterial LSU rRNA". It matches the Rfam family "Bacterial large subunit ribosomal RNA". Lineage: Bacteria; Pseudomonadati; Pseudomonadota; Gammaproteobacteria; Enterobacterales; Enterobacteriaceae. The record is from RNAcentral.